RNAcentral lists this ribosomal RNA (537 nucleotides) under uncultured bacterium. RNAcentral's name for it is "bacterial SSU rRNA". It matches the Rfam family "Bacterial small subunit ribosomal RNA", at positions 102 to 674 of the family's 1533-position model. The record is from RNAcentral.
ACGGGUGCGUAACGCGUGGGAAUCUGCCCUUGGGUUCGGAAUAACAGUUGGAAACGACUGCUAAUACCGGAUGAUGACGUAAGUCCAAAGAUUUAUCGCCCAGGGAUGAGCCCGCGUAGGAUUAGCUAGUUGGUGAGGUAAAGGCUCACCAAGGCGACGAUCCUUAGCUGGUCUGAGAGGAUGAUCAGCCACACUGGGACUGAGACACGGCCCAGACUCCUACGGGAGGCAGCAGUAGGGAAUAUUGGACAAUGGGCGAAAGCCUGAUCCAGCAAUGCCGCGUGAGUGAUGAAGGCCUUAGGGUUGUAAAGCUCUUUUACCCGAGAUGAUAAUGACAGUAUCGGGAGAAUAAGCCCCGGCUAACUCCGUGCCAGCAGCCGCGGUAAUACGGAGGGGGCUAGCGUUGUUCGGAAUUACUGGGCGUAAAGCGCACGUAGGCGGUUAUUCAAGUCAGGGGUGAAAGCCCAGUGCUCAACACUGGAACUGCCCUUGAAACUAGAUAACUUGAAUCCAGGAGAGGUGAGUGGAAUUCCGAGU